Molecule: ribosomal RNA, 484 nt
Filed under: uncultured bacterium
Lineage: Bacteria
Description: partial 16S ribosomal RNA
Rfam family: Bacterial small subunit ribosomal RNA
Source: RNAcentral
AUUGAACGCUGGCGGCAGGCCUAACACAUGCCAGUCGAGCGGAUGAAGGGAGCUUGCUCCUGGAUUCAGCGGCGGACGGGUGAGUAAUGCCUAGGAAUCUGCCUGGUAGUGGGGGAUAACGUCCGGAAACGGGCGCUAAUACCGCAUACGUCCUGAGGGAGAAAGUGGGGGAUCUUCGGACCUCACGCUAUCAGAUGAGCCUAGGUCGGAUUAGCUAGUUGGUGGGGUAAGGGCCUACCAAGGCGACGAUCCGUAACUGGUCUGAGAGGAUGAUCAGUCACACUGGAACUGAGACACGGUCCAGACUCCUACGGGAGGCAGCAGUGGGGAAUAUUGGACAAUGGGCGAAAGCCUGAUCCAGCCAUGCCGCGUGUGUGAAGAAGGUCUUCGGAUUGUAAAGCACUUUAAGUUGGGAGGAAGGGCAGUAAGUUAAUACCUUGCUGUUUUGACGUUACCAACAGAAUAAGCACCGGCUAACUUCGUG